AAGCAUAUCAAUAAGCGGAGGAAAAGAAACCAACAGGGAUUGCCCUAGUAACGGCGAGUGAAGCGGCAACAGCUCAAAUUUGAAAUCUGGCUCUCUUUGGGGGUCCGAGUUGUAAUUUGCAGAGGAUGCUUUGGCAUUGGCGGCGGUCUAAGUUCCUUGGAACAGGACAUCGCAGAGGGUGAGAAUCCCGUACGUGGGCGCCUGCCUUUGCCGUGUAAAGCUCCUUCGACGAGUCGAGUUGUUUGGGAAUGCAGCUCUAAAUGGGAGGUAAAUUUCUUCUAAAGCUAAAUACCGGCCAGAGACCGAUAGCGCACAAGUAGAGUGAUCGAAAGAUGAAAAGUACUUUGGAAAGAGAGUCAAAAAGCACGUGAAAUUGUUGAAAGGGAAGCGCUUGCAGCCAGACUUGCCCGCAGUUGCUCACCUAGGCUUUGGCCUGGGGCACUCUUCUGCGGGCAGGCCAGCAUCAGUUUGGGCGGUCGGACAAAGGCCUCUGUCAAGUAUCUCCCUUCGGGGUGACCUUAUAGGGGAGGCGUAAUGCGACCAGCCCGGACUGAGGUCCGCGCAUCUGCUAGGAUGCUGGCGUAAUGGCUGUAAGCGGCCCGUCUUGAAACACGGACCAAGGAGUCUAACAUCUAUGCGAGUGUUUGGGUGUCAAGCCCGGGCGCGCAAUGAAAGUGAACGGAGGUGGGAACCCUUUGGGUGCACCAUCGACCGAUCCUGAUGUCUUCGGAUGGAUUUGAGUAAGAGCAUAGCUGUUGGGACCCGAAAGAUGGUGAACUAUGCUUGAAUAGGGUGAAGCCAGAGGAAACUCUGGUGGAGGCUCGCAGCGGUUCUGACGUGCAAAUCGAUCGUCAAAUUUGGGCAUAGGGGCGAAAGACUAAUCGAACCAUCUAGUAGCUGGUUCCUGC
RNAcentral lists this ribosomal RNA (908 nucleotides) under Pleosporales sp. RNAcentral describes it as "partial large subunit ribosomal RNA". It matches the Rfam family "Eukaryotic large subunit ribosomal RNA", at positions 36 to 961 of the family's 3401-position model. Lineage: Eukaryota; Fungi; Ascomycota; Dothideomycetes; Pleosporales. The record is from RNAcentral.